AGUCAAUCCGUUUGGGCCUUAGGCCCAAACCUAACCUAAAGCUGCAAUGUGAACUGAACUUCAAAAGGAGUGAGGGAAAAUCGCUUCUCGAUAAGUUACAAAUGCGAAUCGAAAACUAUUUUGUGAAAAGAUUCAACGUCAACAAUGCACUUCUUCGACAUCCGGCAUCGCAUACAUAACACCAUCGCAUUUCAAACCCUCAGUUCGCGCUUCGUCAUCGACCUCAACGCGUUUCCCCUUGCGCUUCGUCAUCAACCUCAACGCGUUUCACCUUGCGCUUCGUCAUCAACCUCAACGCGUUUCACCUUGCGCUUCGUCAUCAACCUCAACGUGUUUCGCCUUGCGCUUCUCAUUUCGUCAACUCAAUGUUCAAUUUAGACGAUUCAAGCUCCAACAGAUAUGAGUUCAAUCAACAAAAUGUGUAAAGGAGCAAGAACUCACUGUUUUGACGCGGAGGCAAAAAGAGGUACGAAUUCCUUCUCCUUCCUCUGUUUCGAUUUGAUUUCCAUUAUUUUUCUUCUUUAACUCCUCUGUGUUUUGGUUGUUGUUGAUUCAAUGUGUCAAAAAGAGGCUUGACUUUGUAUUGCUAGAUAAGUGGUUUUGAACAUUGCAACUUUAGUGAAAUCGGUGAUUGCAAUCGGUUCUGAAGUUGGUUGGGUUAAUUGAUUUAUUACUUUUUGCAGAGUGUAUUAUUUUGUUGAGUUAUGCAAUUGGAAGCAUGGGCUAUUUGGAAUUAACUUAUGAAAUUGGGGUUGAAAUUGGAUUAAUUAUGAGACCUGUUAUUUGGGUUUGUAGGACUGUAAAGGGGAUUAAGCAGAAGAUUGUAUGAAGACUUAGUUAUGAAUGAAAAUGUAUACGAAAUUGAUUUGAAUGUUUUGGUUUGAAAUGUGGAUUGGUGUGGAACUUGUUAUGGAAUAUUGAUUGAAUUGUGUAUGCAUUAGUAUGAAUGAAUUCUAUAUUUGAAUGAUUUUAAAUAAGUUUCAAAGGACUUAAAUGAAAAAUUGAAUGCUUAGUUUGAAUGAUUUUCAAAAGUUACAUUAAAAUGUGUUUGAAUAGUUAACUAACAUGGUUUCAAAGUAUGGCUUGAAUUUUGUAGGUCACUUGAGGGAGCUCUCAUUUGCUUGGAAUCCUUGAAGAUUGGAGAGGCUAGGCUUGCUUAGGUUCUAUAAAACUAAUGGAUUAGCAUUGAGUAGGAAUUGUAGUAUUGUAAUAAUUUAUGCAUGUAUCUUAUGACUUGAAAAAUAUGCCUUGUAAUGGAAACAAAAGUUUGAAACACAUGAAUGGAACUUAAUUGAACAUUGCAAAUUCAUGGA
Molecule: long non-coding RNA, 1313 nt
Organism: Lathyrus oleraceus (garden pea)
Lineage: Eukaryota; Viridiplantae; Streptophyta; Magnoliopsida; Fabales; Fabaceae
Exons: 2
Source: RefSeq, a predicted model, not a curated record